ACAAAGAGGAUGCACUAAAGAUAAUCUUGGAGAGAGAGGAUGUCAAGGGGAUUUUGAAGUUGUUUGCAAACCAGCUUUUGGUGGAGAUGCAGCUACUUCAUCAUAUACUAAGGAGGAUACUCUUUUCAAAGAUAGGGAGGUUUGACUUUGUAUCAAAGAGAGUUAUUGUUAUUAUGUAUUGUGUUGGGGAGAAAUUUGUCACCCAGACUGAAGACAUGGAUUAGUGAAAAGAUAGAUGAUGUUGUUGGAAUUUCAUAUCAGGGCA
This 265-nucleotide long non-coding RNA is filed under the name Elaeis guineensis (African oil palm). RNAcentral describes it as "long non-coding RNA (EGUI_LNC058825)". Lineage: Eukaryota; Viridiplantae; Streptophyta; Magnoliopsida; Arecales; Arecaceae. The record is from RNAcentral.